UGUAGCGGUGAAAUGCAUAGAUAUUACUUAGAACACCAAUUGCGAAGGCAGGUCACUAAGAUUUAACUGACGCUGAUGGACGAAAGCGUGGGUAGCGAACAGGAUUAGAUACCCUGGUAGUCCACGCCGUAAACGAUGCUAACUCGUUUUUGGAUUUUCGGAUUCAGAGACCAAGCGAAAGUGAUAAGUUAGCCACCUGGGGAGUACGUCCGCAAGGAUGAAACUCAAAGGAAUUGACGGGGGCCCGCACAAGCGGUGGAUUAUGUGGUUUAAUUCGAUGAUACGCGAGGAACCUUACCAAGACUUAAAUGGGAAUUGACAGGUUUAGAAAUAGACCCUUCUUCGGACAAUUUUCAAGGUGCUGCAUGGUUGUCGUCAGCUCGUGCCGUGAGGUGUUAGGUUAAGUCCUGCAACGAGCGCAACCCCUGUCACUAGUUGCCAUCAUUUAGUUGGGGACUCUAGUGAGACUGCCUACGCAAGUAGAGAGGAAGGUGGGGAUGACGUCAAAUCAUCACGGCCCUUACGUCUUGGGCCACACACGUAAUACAAUGGCCGGUACAGAGGGCAGCUACCAGGUGACUGGAUGCAAAUCUCGAAAGCCGGUCUCAGUUCGGAUUGGAGUCUGCAACUCGACUCUAUGAAGCUGGAAUCGCUAGUAAUCGCGCAUCAGCC
RNAcentral lists this ribosomal RNA (672 nucleotides) under uncultured bacterium. RNAcentral's name for it is "bacterial SSU rRNA". It matches the Rfam family "Bacterial small subunit ribosomal RNA", at positions 674 to 1354 of the family's 1533-position model. The record is from RNAcentral.